Molecule: long non-coding RNA, 6320 nt
Filed under: Sus scrofa (pig)
Lineage: Eukaryota; Metazoa; Chordata; Mammalia; Artiodactyla; Suidae
Description: lncRNA (ENSSSCG00045029095.1)
Source: RNAcentral
GAACCGGCGCAGUCAGGACACGCUGUGUGGCGGGGUUUGGAAUAUUCUUAACGGUGGUUUGGGCGGUGUUGGCCCCGAUCUACGGAGACCGCUGGGAAGCUAUAGAUGUGCUGGAAAUUCCUCUUACUCUUCUUUAGGAUUUAAUCUGCUUCUUGUUUCAGUCAUCCUUGGUUUAUGUUCCAACUUUCCUUACUCCUUUUGUAGCCAAAAAUGCCGCCUCUGUAUACCGACGCCAGUUACGUCUUGGAGACAGUUUCGAGGAAGAGAAAGAGCAGCUUUACUGCUCUGCUAGGCAAAGGAAGACACAGCAGGCUAAUGUCUCAAAACUGUGUCCUGCCUUGAGAGGGGGUAGCAAGGGGUCCUGUAGCUUUAGCUUGAAAGACAGGGUUAUUGAUUAAGGUGUCUAUAGUCUUCCAUCGAUCAUUUCAGAGCUGUCAAGAUUGAUGUUAGAUGGUCUGGUGAUGGUUUCUGGUUGUCUUAGUGGUUAUCAUUCCUUGACUUUCUCUCUGGAAUGAAGAUUGCUAACAGGGAGGGCUUAUUAGGGGGUAUUCCAAUUAAAAAAAAACACUAGGUGUAAUAAAAUACUAGCUAGAAAGUAACCAUUAGUAAAAUAGAGCAAUUAAGCAAGGGAGAGAUCAUUUGUGAAAAGCCAGAUGCUAGGUGCAAUGUAAGUCUAAUUAGCAGGAAAGCAUUGUACUAAGUGGGCCAAGGCAGGGCAUAACACAAUGGAGACGGUUCAACCAGUUUUAUUAUUAUUAUUGUUAGUGUUAUUUUUGCUAUAACACUUUCUCCACUUAUCCCCCAGUUUUUCCUCUGCCAGUGUUUCCCUUCCUCCCUUACUGGUUGCAUUUCUUCCCUUCCUUCCCCUGCAUACACAGGAAGGUUGUUUUUCAGUUGAUCUGUUUAUUAGUAUUCAUAUUCCUGCCUCUGCUACUAGUUCCUUUAGCAAAAUACGGAAGAUGCCUAUUCCAGAGGUAUUUUGAGCUUACCACACCUCAACUCUGAGAAGACAAAGGUCAUGUUCGUCUUGCCGAACUGUUGGCAUCUUCAGCACCUGGCAGCUAAUAGCAACUCCAGUGAGAUCAGUAUUAACUUGUGAUGGUACAGUCUGGAAAUAGACAAAUGCACAAAAUAAGUGAUUGAGCUGAGCAGUUGAUUCCAUGAGUGAGAUUCUCCAAAACUUCACUUUUUCCUUUGGCAAGAUGAUGGCGAUGUUUGAACGGUGUUGAUCCCAACAGCCUGUGUCCUUGAACAGCUGCUGCUUCAUAAAGUUUCCCAUAGGGAGUAGGAGGUCUCUGCUCCUUCAAGAUAUAACCUGGGCAACUCUCUACACCUGUAGAAGAUUGCCUCUGACUCAGUGGAUAAGAGGCAAAGAUAUGGCAGAACAACUGUAAGGGGGAACUCAGUGGAUAAAAGAAAUAACUGAGCCUUUCUCCUCCUCUCUGAGCCAGAACUGUGAAGAGUCUAGGUUUCCACAAGGACACAUUCAGAAGAAGAAACUGAAGCCCAGAGAUGUUAAGAGAAGAAAUGAUUUAUUCAAACUUCAGAUUUGUGGAAAUUUUCUGGUGUACAGCAUAAAGAAUGCUCCUCCAAGGAAGAGAAAUUGACUUGACCAAGCAAGAGGAGGGAUGGGGCCAGCAUAUGACACGAAGGUGAAGAGAUAAGAGAGCUAUGGAAAGGUUUCCCUGAAGCAAGGCCCUCUCCACCCACCAUAGGAUUUGUGCAAGAUAACGUUAUGAUUGAAUAGUCACACGCAUGCAUACGUGCGAAUGAAUGCAUGAACAUUUGAACUGUAUGAGUGUUGAGCUUCUGGUGGGCUGAGCCAUAUCUUCUUCCCAAUGUGGAGAAACCACAAGUAAAUCCAGUAUUUGGCAGAUAGCUGAUGUGCAGCAAAGUGAGGGAAGAGAGCAGAAUGAGAACACAGAAGAAGAAUGUGAGCUGUUUCAGCUGGAGCCUUCCUCCCCUGCCAGGAAGGAGAGGAAACAGAGACUUCAAACACAUGGAAGCUCGCUGGUUCUUUAUGAAGGGGUGAGCAUAUGCUGAGGAUUGUUCGAAGGAAGGAGGAUGCUGACUGCAUGGUUCUGUCUGGGUUUAACAAAGAAGAGCUGUUCAGGACCCCAAACCGCAUCAAACAAUAUAGCUCUGGGAGUUCCUGCUGUGGCGCAGUGGGUUAAGUAUCUGGCAUUUCCACAGCUAUGGCGUAGGUCUCAGCUGUGGCUCAGAUUUGAUCCCUGGCCCUGGGAGCUUCCAUACACUGUGGGCACAGCCAAGCCAAAAAAACAAAACAGUACAAAACAAUACAGCCCCAAGGGCCAGGAGGCAGGAACAGUGCCUGUCCUGAAGUGGAGCACAGGAUUCUCUUUCAGCGUUUCUGUGCUGGCUGCCUUUUGGUGUCAGCAGAAGAGGGGUUACACAUGCAAGGAGGAGCCUGGGAUAUACUGGGAGGGCUCUAUUCCCCCCGCCCCUCACUCACCCCACCAGGUGGGUAUCUCUCUGCCAAAGACACCAGGCUUAGUGUCUGCAGUCCAUUGUUUCAUACAGACAACCACCAGCAGUCAGCUGGGUCACCUUGGCUUCUUCCUCCUGGGUGUUAGGAAUCCCUUGCUCUUCUCAACCUACGGAGAUCUGAGAGCCAAUGAGGUAAAGGCUGGGAAAGCACUUUGUACUAACAUGUCCAAUACCUGCUAUCAGCCCUUUAUUCCUGUGAGCCAAGGUACCAUUUGUGAAAAGGCAGCUCUGCAUGGAAGGGGUCAGACAUUAAUUAUUGGUCAUUAACCUCUUGACCCUUUCCUGAGUGACCCUGAGAAGGGAAAGGAAGAUUGAAAGAAGUCCUGAGGUCUAGAUGCCAGAUGGGGCAGGCUUGUCAGGCAGCCAGGGUAAGGAUUCUACCACUUGUUUGAAGGUGGGGUGAGGGAAGGCAGAAGAGAUGUUGGGGAACAUGGUGUUGGAGGACAGACAGAAAGGAAUAGACAAGUGUCCCCUGCCUGGGUUGAUUCCAGGGCUGGCUAUAGCCUGGAAUGGAGCAGAUUAAAGCCAGAGACCCUGCCUGCUCUGCCUGACCUGGGAGCUUUGCCCAAGCAACGCAUCUGGAAUCAGGGACAGAAUUUGAGGCAAUAAUGGCCUGUCUUUCCGCUGAGAGCAAGAGUCAAGCUCAUAAAGAGAGUCAGCGGAGAAGGGACUCUGCCAGAGAAAACAGACAAGCAAAACAGAACCUCACGCAAGACUCCAGGCUGACAAAAUUGUUCAUUAGGAACGUGGAUUUCUUUCUGAAAUAAGAGCUUGGCUAUAAAUGGCUAAACAUGUGAAGGGAAAUAGAUUGUACAUUCCCUUCCUCUAUAUCCCCUUCAAGAAGCAUAGUAGUCUUCAGAGUACACCCCAUUUCACCUCCUUAAACAAAUGGCCCUUAAAACAGGUUCUCAGCCUCAGCAAUGAUGGAAAUUUGGGCCAGGCAGUUCUUUUGGGGGGGGGGGCUGUCCUGUGUACUGUACGAUAUUUAGCAGGAUCUCUGGCCUUUUCCCAGUAGCACCCUCUCCCUAGAGUGACAGUAAAAGAUGUUUCCAGACAUUUCUAGAAAUGCCAUGGGGGUUCACAAUCUCCCCUGAGAACCGCUGACUUAAAUGUCCUAAAGAUGUUUCUUUGUUACUUUGUUCAACUAUCUCCUGAUCUCAAUUUUUCUUUUUUUAUCGCUUGACUAAGUUUAUAUAGCCUGCUUUACAUAAUUAAUUUGUUCAUUUAUUCAACCAAGUUUCCUCCUCAUUAAAGUGAAAGUGGUAAUAAGAAAUGACAUUUUGGAAGUUCCGAUGAGACAGUGUUAGAGCCAAUGGCAGAUCAACCGUGUCUUAUUGAACUAAUUAGCAGCAUAAUUAGCAUAUUCUCAAAAUUAUUAAUGGGAGCAGUAUAGAGUGCUUAAUUGAAAUGUGGAGUUUGGAGUCAGAAAACCUGUAGCCUGGUCUCUGCCCACACAUGUGGGCUCUGGCAGCUCAACCCUCUAAAACCUUAAAUCCAAAUGUGUUUAAUGUGAACACGUGUAGCACGCCUUCACAGGUAUUGCCAUUUUAUUUUUAUACUUCACAAAGCUAGAGGCACACAGUAAAACAUUUCCACUAGGAAGCUUUCUAUGGAAUAGCUUGCCUCAGUUUCAGUAGUAAUCCUGCAUUAAUUGCAUCGAACCACAGGUGGGGCUCAUUUUCAAGAGGAAAUCUGGAGAGUCACACAGAUAUUAAAAAAAAAAAAGUAAAAUAGAGGCAAAAAAUCUCAAAAGGGAUCAGUUUGCUAAAUCAUAUGUUAAUGACCACAUAUAUGUUUAUUAGAGACAUGAAAAUAAGAGAGAAAUACCUUUAGCAAGUGACUGAAAUAGAAAAACAAUUAGAAAAAUACAAAACUUCCUAAGAAGCUAAAAAUGACUUCAUAGAAUAUGCUCUAAAUGUUAAGCAUUGGGAAAAAAAAGUGGGUAAAUGUUUUGUGUGGUACAUAGACACCUGAGUGAACUGGCCAUGUGCAAAUUGCUUUUAUAAGGAUUAAUUUUAGGACAACUGGCUUUAAUCAAAUUGGUUUCUUAGAGAACUGUGCUGCCUUGGAAAUUCUGGGGUUAUAGAGUCCGGUUUCAGAGUAAAAAGGAAAAAACUAUAGGCAGAUACAGGAAAAGUAAAAUGAGGCAGUGUUAAAGGCCAGGUUUCUGCCCAGAGACUACAUCCGUGGCAUUUGAUAGAGAGGAGACAUGGCCCAGGUAGACCCUCAGUGAAGGUGCCUUAAUAAGGAAGCUUUCCCCAACCAGCCUCUCCACCCUGGCACUCACCAGCCCCUUGUCCUACCUUGUUUUUCCCCAUGGUACUCAUCCCAUCCUGAGGUAUAUAUUUAUUUCUUUACUUACUCUCUUCUGCACCCCUCCUCCCAGCAACACACACACACACAAACACACACACAGACACACACAAACACACACAAACUCUUUAGUUACUACUGCCUUUUCCAGGUCUGGUCCUUUAUCCCCCUUCAGAACCCUUAGGUGCUGAGUAUUGUUUAUUUUUCUAUUUACCUUUAGAUGCCGGGCACCUUACACACUGAUCCCUGAUCCUCAAUAUCUCUGUCAGGCAGGGACCACAUCACAUCUUCAGAAAAUUCACAGGUUUAGUAGGAUGAGUUAAAGACAUUCACAGUAAAUCUUUUUUUUUCAACAUAAAGAAUCUGAUGUUCAGAGAGGUUCAUAAACACACCUAAGAUCCGACAGCUAAUAAUAAGCCUCAUUGGUAUUUAAAACCAGAUUGUUUAAUUAAAAUCUUUCUAAAAUGCUUUUGUGCCCCAAAGGAACAAUCAGUCAGAGAAGGCCUACCUCACUUUCUGUUCUAAAAUGCCCUUCAACUUCCAGCAGCUUCCCUUGUGAACUUCAGGGCUGUUCAAUGUUUGCAUGCAGAACAGAGCCCUGGAAGGACCAGGGAAGGUCACUUGGUUCAAGUGUCUGACCUGACCACGGUGGAAAACAACUGCCCAAGGUCCCCAGCUCUAGGCUCCAGAACCUUAUACAGAUAAUGCUAGAUAUUCCAACAGAAAUAUAAUAGAGCCAUAAUUAAGAAAUUUCUAAUUUCUAAUUUAAAAAAAGGAAAAAGAAACAGGUAAAAUUAAUUUUAAGCACAUAUUCUAUACCCAAACUAUUAUCAUUUCAACAUGCAAUCAGUAUAAAAGCUAGUAAUGAUAUAUUUUAUAUAACCCUAAUGUUAAAUUAAUUAAAUUAAAUUUUUAAAAAUUCAGUUCCUCAGUUGCUCUAGCCACAUUUCAAGUGCUCUGUAGAGGAUAGUAAUGGAAAGCUUGGUGCUAGAGAAACAUUUGGUGCUGACAGCAGUUAGGAGGAGUUCCUUUGUGAGUCUCCUUCGUGAGUGUGUAAUAUGUCAUUAAGGAUUUUGGAGCCCCUCCAUCAUGGCAGCUCACAUGCUGACACAGUGGCUCAGUGUCCCAAAAAAGGGGUAGAAGCUGAAUGCCCUUUCAUGACCUAGGCCUGAAAGUCAAAUUGUGUCUUUUCUGCUGUAUUCUAUUGUUGUCCAUAAACAAAGUUUUAUUGGUACCUAGCUCUGCUCAUUUGUUUACAUAUUGCCUAUCGCUGCCUUUGCACUACAAUGGCAGAGUUGAGUAGUACAAUGCAAAACCUAAAAUCUUUACUGUCUGGCUGUAGAAUAUCAAAAUUUUGGGUGGCAUGGUGUGAACUCCCAGUUUUUAACAGCAAAGUCAAUAUGAUGGUACCCUUUUGUCUUGGAAAUGUCCUCAAAGCAACAAAGAUAACAGAAAUCAGACAGAUAAACUUUAUCAAAAAAAAAAAAAAAAAAAAAAAA